AACCUCUGUAUAUACCUUUCAU
This 22-nucleotide microRNA is filed under the name Drosophila mojavensis. RNAcentral describes it as "Dmo-Mir-963-v1_3p* (star (passenger))". Lineage: Eukaryota; Metazoa; Arthropoda; Insecta; Diptera; Drosophilidae. The record is from RNAcentral.